AAGAUGUGUAUAUUGUAAUUACUAAUUCUCUUUACCCUCUUUUCUGUGAAAGGACUACAGAAACUUGACUUUUAAAAAUUAGCGUGUGAAAAGUCAUUCUCUCUCUCUCUCUCCCCCUGCCCCCAGAUCCCCUCUUCUCUUGCUUUGAACUACAUUCUUGUAUUCACUCUGCAACUUUUUAUUGUGAGCCUUGUGGUGUGUUGUUGAAAAUACAGCCGAGGACGGUUUUAUUCUUAUUGAACUGAGGGCCCUAAUGAGAGAUGCAGAUGCUAUGCUGUUUCUAGUGGGGUUUUAAUUUUGUUUGUUUGCUUGUUUUUAAGAAUACCUUCUGCACAUAUAUCUGUAAUAUAUAUUCUCUCAUUAAAAAAAAUACAAAUGGUGACUUA
Molecule: long non-coding RNA, 386 nt
Filed under: Bos taurus (domestic cattle)
Lineage: Eukaryota; Metazoa; Chordata; Mammalia; Artiodactyla; Bovidae
Description: long non-coding RNA NONBTAT013766
Source: RNAcentral